AGAAUAAAAUUGAUUCUUUUUUAGAAGUUUGGUUCAUUAAUAAGAUUACAUGUUUUUAGUUUAAUUAAUUUUUUUUCAGUAAUUAAUAUUUUUAAUAAUAUUGUUUAUUAUUUAGUUAUUUAAUAAGGUUUGACUAAUCUUGUGCCAGCAUUCGCGGUUAUACAUUUAAUUCAACUUAACUUUUUUGGUUUAAUGAUUUAAAUAUUUUAAUGAUUAUUCUAAUUUAUUAAUUUGGGUGGAAUUUAUUUUUAAAAUUUUUCUUUUAAUAAUUAUUAUUUUAAUUUUAGAAUUUAAACUAGGAUUAGAUACCCUAUUAUUCUUUAGUUAAUUUACCCUGAACAUUAACAGUUUUGCUCUGUUAAAUUCAAAGAAUUUGGCGGCAUUUAAUUUUAUUAGAGGAACCUGUUUUUUAAUUGAUAAACCACGAUAUAAUUUACCUUUAUAUUAACUUGUAUAUCUCUAUAUUUGGAAUGUUUCUUAAGGAUGACUUUCUUUUUUAAUUUUUAUUUUAUGUUAGGUCAAGGUGCAGUAUUAAAAGGUUUAAAUGGGUUACAUUUAAAGUUUUUAUGGAAUUAUUUGUUUUAAUAUAUUUAUUAAAUUGGAUUUGAUAGUAAUUUUAAUUAAUUAAUUAUUUUGAAUCUGUUCUUAUUUGUGUACAUAUCGCCCGUCACUCCUAUAUACAGGAUAAGUCGUAACAAAGUAGAUGUACCGGAAGGUGUAUCUGUUUGAU
RNAcentral lists this non-coding RNA (730 nucleotides) under Nacolus tuberculatus. Lineage: Eukaryota; Metazoa; Arthropoda; Insecta; Hemiptera; Cicadellidae. The record is from RNAcentral.